This 80-nucleotide ribosomal RNA is filed under the name Leucodon dracaenae. RNAcentral describes it as "partial 5.8S ribosomal RNA". It matches the Rfam family "5.8S ribosomal RNA", at positions 74 to 154 of the family's 154-position model. From Rfam's summary of the family: 5.8S ribosomal RNA (5.8S rRNA) is a component of the large subunit of the eukaryotic ribosome. It is transcribed by RNA polymerase I as part of the 45S precursor that also contains 18S and 28S rRNA. Functionally, it is thought that 5.8S rRNA may be involved in ribosome translocation. The record is from RNAcentral. Lineage: Eukaryota; Viridiplantae; Streptophyta; Bryopsida; Hypnales; Leucodontaceae.
GCAGAAUUCCGCGAAUCAUCGAGUCUUUGAACGCAAGUUGCGCCCGAGGCUUGUCCGAGGGCAUUUCCGCUAGAGCGUCA